RNAcentral lists this ribosomal RNA (816 nucleotides) under Triticum aestivum (bread wheat). RNAcentral describes it as "partial small subunit ribosomal RNA". The record is from RNAcentral. Lineage: Eukaryota; Viridiplantae; Streptophyta; Magnoliopsida; Poales; Poaceae.
AUGGUUCCUAAGAAAGAUGAUUCACUCCGUAUGUGUAUUGAAUUCAAGCAUAUCAAUCGGGCCUGCCCGAAGGAUCACUUCCCUCUUCCUCGCAUCGAUCAGAUAGUCGACUCGACUGCGGGAUGUGAGCGGUUGUCUUUCCUGGAUGCAUAUUCCGGGUACCAUCAGAUCCGACUUUAUGGACCUGAUGAAAUAAAAAUAGCUUUUAUCACCCCAUUCGGGUGCUUUUGCUAUGUCACCAUGCCCUUUGGUCUCAAGAAUGCUAGUGCCACAUUCAUGAGCAUGAUACAGAAGUGCCUGCUCACUCAAAUCAGUCGGAAUGUGGAAGCAUACAUGGAUGACAUCGUGGUUAAGUCACGUAAAGGUUCCGACCUGCUGACUGACCUCGCUGAAACCUUUGCCAAUCUGAGGAGAUAUGAUAUCAAGCUCAAUGUGUCGAAGUGUAUGUUUGGAGUCCCAGGUGGCAAGUUACUCGGUUUCCUCGUUUCCGAACGUGGGAUCGAUGCAAACCUAGAGAAAGUUGGUGCAAUACUCCGAAUGAAACGCCCUGUGCGUGUACACGACAUUCAGAAGCUUACCGGUUGUUUGGCCUCUUUGAGUCGAUUCAUCUCUCAUCUCGGUGAAAAGGCAUUGCCUCUUUACUGCCUGAUGAAGAAAUCUGAUAAGUUCGAGUGGACUCCUGAAGCUGACGCAGCGUUUGCAGAGCUCAAAACCCUACUUUCCACCCAGCCGGUGCUUGCUGCUCCAAUCAGCAAAGAGCCUUUACAGCUUUAUAUUGCAGCCACUGGACAAGUCGUCAGUGUAUUAUAUUUCUGA